Ribosomal RNA from Gadus morhua (Atlantic cod), 116 nucleotides. NCBI's taxonomy places the organism in Eukaryota, Metazoa, Chordata, Actinopteri, Gadiformes, Gadidae. The record is from Ensembl.
UACAAAGGCCUUACCACCAUUGACACGCCCAAUCUCGUCUGAUCUUGGAAGCUAAGCAUGGUCUGGCCUGGUUAGUUCUUGGAUGGGUGACCGCCUGGGAAUACCAGGUGCUGUAA